Molecule: non-coding RNA, 520 nt
Organism: Nicotiana tabacum (common tobacco)
Lineage: Eukaryota; Viridiplantae; Streptophyta; Magnoliopsida; Solanales; Solanaceae
Source: RefSeq, a predicted model, not a curated record
CAUAAUUCUUUCUCUCUUCUCUCUCUCUCUUCUCUCUCUUCUCUCCGCCGCCGCCGCCGGAAAUAACCCACCGGCAGCGGCCAACCUCCAAACACCACCAAAUUCACACCAUGUAAUCUCUACAACCUCCUCUUUCCAUAUCUCCAAAUCAAAUCCUUCAAAAACCCCUCAAACGCCUUGAAUUUUAGAUCUAUAAAACUUUAGCCGCCAUUUUUUUGCCCAAAAUCUUGAAGUUCCGGCCACUACCACCCCACAAUACCUAUACCAACGGAUAGAGAUCAUCAAGACCUACCUAUUGAUGUCAAUUCCCUCCCGAAAAUUCGGCAACUAAAAAUCUGGCCAAAUUCCGGCGACCACCCCGAACACCCUCGUUUGAUUCUUGAUGAUAAUAAGAAGGAUUUGAUCCCGAUUUGGUUGAUGGAACAUAUUAGAUCUGAUUUUGUUUCAAGAUGAAUGUUAUAUUAGUGUUAUCAUCAUGUAAAUCUGUUAAAAAUUAGUUAAAUUAUCGUUUUCUUCUUUA